GAUGAAGAACGCAGCGAAAUGCGAUAAGUAGUGUGAAUUGCAGAAUUCAGUGAAUCAUCGAAUCUUUGAACGCACCUUGCGCCCUUUGGCCAUUCCGAAGGGCAUGCCUGUUUGAGUAUCAUGAACACCUCAACUCUCAUGGCUCGCCAUGAUGAGCUUGGAUUUGGGGGUCUUGCUGGCCUGUGGUCGGCUCCUCUCAAAUGGAUCAGCUUGCCAGUGUUUGGUGGCAUCACAGGUGUGAUAACUAUCUGCGCUUGUGGUUUUCCAUCAGAUAACCUUCAGUGAUGGAGGUUCGCUGGAGCUCAUAAACGUCUCCCCUAAGCGGGGACAGCCCUUUGAAUGUUUGAUCUCAAAUCAGGUAGGACUACCCGCUGAACUUAAGCAUAUCAAUAAGCGGAGGA
This 401-nucleotide unclassified non-coding RNA is filed under the name soil metagenome. Its description in RNAcentral is "partial contains 5.8S ribosomal RNA, internal transcribed spacer 2, and large subunit ribosomal RNA". The stretch from base 1 to 121 matches the Rfam family "5.8S ribosomal RNA", at positions 35 to 154 of the family's 154-position model. The record is from RNAcentral.